RNAcentral lists this ribosomal RNA (463 nucleotides) under uncultured bacterium. RNAcentral describes it as "partial 16S ribosomal RNA". It matches the Rfam family "Bacterial small subunit ribosomal RNA", at positions 28 to 507 of the family's 1533-position model. The record is from RNAcentral.
GAUGAACGCUGACAGAAUGCUUAACACAUGCAAGUCGAUGGGGAAGUGGUGCUUGCACCAUGGUAAUCAUGGCGGACGGGUGAGUAACGCGUAAGGAACUUGCCUGCGGGACUGGGAUAACAGCAGGAAACUGCUGAUAAUACCGGAUAAGGUCAUUAAGCUGCAUAGCUUAGUGAUGAAAGGAGACGCCUGCGGAGAGCCUUGCGUCCUAUUAGCUAGUUGGAGGGGUAACGGCCCACCAAGGCGAAGAUAGGUAGCCGGCCUGAGAGGGUGGACGGCCACAAGGGGACUGAGAUACGGCCCUUACUCCUACGGGAGGCAGCAGUGGGGAAUAUUGGACAAUGGGGGCAACCCUGAUCCAGCAAUUCUGUGUGCACGAAGACGGUUUUCGGAUUGUAAAGUGCUUUCAGCAGGGAAGAAGGAAGUGACGGUACCUGCAGAAGAAGCGACGGCUAAAUACGUG